This 372-nucleotide long non-coding RNA is filed under the name Mytilus galloprovincialis (Mediterranean mussel). Lineage: Eukaryota; Metazoa; Mollusca; Bivalvia; Mytilida; Mytilidae. The record is from RNAcentral.
UUUGUUUGUGAUAUUUUAGAGAAAUGCAAAAUUAAAAAAAUUACUCGGGAGAAAAUCACAUGACAUUAACGUAUAACUUUACUUAAAUUGUAUUCUAAGGAACAGAAAAUCAUUUCGUUGAGAAAUCAAGAAUGUGCCAAAUAAGAACAAUUAAAUAAGAUACCAUCAACGACAAAAACAGGUAAAUGAGAGAGAAAAAAAUACAGAACAAAGUAAAACAUAAAAUAUAAAAUUGAGAAUGGAAACGGGGAAUAUGUCAAAGAGACAACAACCCGACCAAAUUAAAGAGCAGACAGCAGCCGAAGGCCACCAAUGCAGCGAGAAUUUCCUGCACCCGGAGGCGCGCCUUUUAUAACCAUCCCAUUCCCCAAA